UGAGAGUGUCUCAUCUAAAACUCCUUCUCCUACUUCUCAUCUUUGGAAGAGUCCAAAUCAAGAAGAAGGAGGUAUCUGAUCGACCAUCGAAGAAGGAUCGGUACAGUACUAGCAUACUUUGUUGAUUUCCUGGAUCAGGACUUCUGAUCGUGAUUCGUGAGCUCGUGUGGAUGACUCCUAGAGGCUGGACGUAUGUGCGGCUUGCAAC
RNAcentral lists this long non-coding RNA (208 nucleotides) under Elaeis guineensis (African oil palm). Its description in RNAcentral is "long non-coding RNA (EGUI_LNC003972)". The record is from RNAcentral. Lineage: Eukaryota; Viridiplantae; Streptophyta; Magnoliopsida; Arecales; Arecaceae.